UGGGGAAUAUUGCACAAUGGGCGCAAGCCUGAUGCAGCCAUGCCGCGUGUAUGAAGAAGGCCUUCGGGUUGUAAAGUACUUUCAGCGGGGAGGAAGGGAGUAAAGUUAAUACCUUUGCUCAUUGACGUUACCCGCAGAAGAAGCACCGGCUAACUCCGUGCCAGCAGCCGCGGUAAUACGGAGGGUGCAAGCGUUAAUCGGAAUUACUGGGCGUAAAGCGCACGCAGGCGGUUUGUUAAGUCAGAUGUGAAAUCCCCGGGCUCAACCUGGGAAGUGCAGCUGAUACUGGCAAGCUUGAGUCUCGUAGAGGGGGGUAGAAUUCCAGGUGUAGCGGUGAAAUGCGUAGAGAUCUGGAGGAAUACCGGUGGCGAAGGCGGCCCCCUGGACGAAGACUGACGCUCAGGUGCGAAAGCGUGGGGAGCAAACAGG
This 429-nucleotide ribosomal RNA is filed under the name Chloroflexota bacterium. RNAcentral describes it as "Chloroflexi bacterium partial 16S ribosomal RNA". It matches the Rfam family "Bacterial small subunit ribosomal RNA", at positions 355 to 776 of the family's 1533-position model. Lineage: Bacteria; Bacillati; Chloroflexota. The record is from RNAcentral.